AUUGAACGCUGGCGGCAGGCCUAACACAUGCAAGUCGAACGAGUGGCGGACGGGUGAGUAAUGUCUGGGAAACUUCCUGAUGGAGGGGGUUAACUACUGGAAACGGUAGCUAAUACCGCAUACCAUCGGAUGUGCCCAGAUGGGAUUAGCUAGUAGGUGGGGUAACCGCUCACCUCGGCGACGAUCCCUACCUGGUCUGAGAGGAUGACCAGCCACACUGGAAAGGAGACACGGGCCAUACGCCUACGGGAGGCAGCAGUGGGGAAUAUUGGACAAUGGGCGCAAGCCUGAUGCAGCCAUGCCGCGUGUAUGAAGAAGGCCUUCGGGUUGUAAAGUACUUUCAGCGGGGAGGCGUUACCCGCAGAAGAAGCAACGGCUAAAUACGAGCCAGCCGCCGCGGUAAUAC
RNAcentral lists this ribosomal RNA (406 nucleotides) under uncultured bacterium. RNAcentral's name for it is "partial 16S ribosomal RNA". It matches the Rfam family "Bacterial small subunit ribosomal RNA", at positions 30 to 526 of the family's 1533-position model. The record is from RNAcentral.